UACGUAGGUGGCAAGCGUUGUCCGGAUUUACUGGGUGUAAAGGGCGUGCAGCCGGGAAGACAAGUCAGAUGUGAAAUCCCGCGGCUCAACCGCGGAACUGCAUUUGAAACUGUUUUUCUUGAGUACCGGAGAGGUCAUCGGAAUUCCUUGUGUAGCGGUGAAAUGCGUAGAUAUAAGGAAGAACACCAGUGGCGAAGGCGGAUGACUGGACGGCAACUGACGGUGAGGUGCGAAAGCGUGGGGAGCAAACAGG
Molecule: ribosomal RNA, 253 nt
Filed under: uncultured bacterium
Lineage: Bacteria
Description: partial 16S ribosomal RNA
Rfam family: Bacterial small subunit ribosomal RNA
Source: RNAcentral